GGAUAGACUUUUGAUAAAGAUGCAUCGGCUGCUGAUAUUCUGUCUCGUAUGUUCGUUCAUUGUGCAAUGUUCUGCACAAAAACCAGGCGCAUGCCCAGAUGGCGACAUCAGACCAUCUGUAUGCCUGUGGGAUUGCGCGUCCGAUCAUGAAUGCCCCGGUGCACAGAAAUGCUGCCAAUAUAGCAGCUGCAUGUUCACCUGUGAAACACCCAUCUAGUUGGCUCGUAUCGUCCAUGACGUCCGUGACACAACCUAUUGAGUGCUGCCUGAAACGCGGAUCUGGAUCAUUUGAGUUCAAAUUAAAUCAAAGUUAUGAAAACUAGGAAGUGUUUAUAGUUUGUGUUUAACAUGCCUCACAUAUAAUUAAAGGACGAACAUUUGUCCGUGUGUGUGUUUCCU
Dreissena polymorpha is the source of this 399-nucleotide long non-coding RNA. RefSeq lists it as uncharacterized. The transcript has 4 exons. The record is from RefSeq and is a predicted model, not a curated record. Lineage: Eukaryota; Metazoa; Mollusca; Bivalvia; Myida; Dreissenidae.